CAGUAGCCGCGGUAAUACGGAGGGUGCUAGCGUUGUUCGGAAUCACUGGGCGUAAAGGGCGCGUAGGCGGCCUGUUAAGUCGGAUGUGAAAGCCCGGGGCUCAACCCCGGAACUGCAUCCGAGACUGGCAGGCUUGAGACCGGGAGAGGAGGGUGGAAUAUCCAGUGUAGAGGUGAAAUUCGUAGAUAUUGGAUGGAACACCGGUGGCGAAAGCGGCUCUCUGGCCCGGAUCUGACGCUGAGGCGCGAAAGCGUGGGGAGCAAACAGGAUUAGAUACCCCGGUAGUCCCUGUCUCUUAUAC
Molecule: ribosomal RNA, 301 nt
Filed under: uncultured bacterium
Lineage: Bacteria
Description: partial 16S ribosomal RNA
Rfam family: Bacterial small subunit ribosomal RNA
Source: RNAcentral